This 435-nucleotide ribosomal RNA is filed under the name uncultured kinetoplastid. RNAcentral describes it as "bacterial SSU rRNA". It matches the Rfam family "Eukaryotic small subunit ribosomal RNA", at positions 678 to 1011 of the family's 1831-position model. The record is from RNAcentral. Lineage: Eukaryota; Euglenozoa; Kinetoplastea.
CCAAAUUUCAUGGGAUUUCUUCCUUCAACAUCUCUCGCGUACGAUGCACGCCGUGUGAGGGAUGCCCGUGUUUUUUACUGUGACUAAAAAAGCGCGACCAAAGCAGUCAAGCGACAUGAUUUCAAAGCAUGGGAUAACAACGAAGCAGCCUACGGAUUACCGUUUCGGCUUUUGUUGGUUUUAAGAUCUGUGGGAGAUUAUGGUCUGGCAUGACAAGCGGUUCGCGAGUUUCGGCUCGCACGCCUUCCGCCCCUUGGCUUUCGGGCCUUGGGAACCGGUUUGUCGGACUAGGAAUGAGGAGGGUUGUUCGGGGGAGAACGUACUUGAGCGUGAGAGGUGAAAUUCUUAGACCGCUCAAGACGAACUACAGCGAAGGCAUCCUCCAAGGAUACCUUCCUCAAUCAAGAACCAAAGUGCGGGAUCGAAGAUGAUUAG